CCCCGCAGACGACCGCUGGCGGCGUGCCUAAUACAUGCAAGUCGAGCGAAUCUUUGGGAGCUUGCUCCCAUUGGUUAGCGGCGGACGGGUGAGUAACACGUGGGCAACCUGCCUGUAAGACUGGGAUAACUUCGGGAAACCGGAGCUAAUACCGGAUAAUUCUUUUCCUCUCAUGAGGAAAAGCUGAAAGUCGGUUUACGCUGACACUUACAGAUGGGCCCGCGGCGCAUUAGCUAGUUGGUGAGGUAACGGCUCACCAAGGCGACGAUGCGUAGCCGACCUGAGAGGGUGAUCGGCCACACUGGGACUGAGACACGGCCCAGACUCCUACGGGAGGCAGCAGUAGGGAAUCUUCCACAAUGGACGAAAGUCUGAUGGAGCAACGCCGCGUGAGCGAUGAAGGCCUUCGGGUCGUAAAGCUCUGUUGUUAGGGAAGAACAAGUACCGGAGUAACUGCCGGUACCUUGACGGUACCUAACCAGAAAGCCACGGCUAACUACGUGCCAGCAGCCGCGGUAAUACGUAGGUGGCAAGCGUUGUCCGGAAUUAUUGGGCGUAAAGCGCGCGCAGGCGGUCCUUUAAGUCUGAUGUGAAAGCCCACGGCUCAACCGUGGAGGGUCAUUGGAAACUGGGGGACUUGAGUGCAGAAGAGGAAAGCGGAAUUCCACGUGUAGCGGUGAAAUGCGUAGAGAUGUGGAGGAACACCAGUGGCGAAGGCGGCUUUCUGGUCUGUAACUGACGCUGAGGCGCGAAAGCGUGGGGAGCAAACAGGAUUAGAUACCCUGGUAGUCCACGCCGUAAACGAUGAGUGCUAAGUGUUAGGGGGUUUCCGCCCCUUAGUGCUGCAGCUAACGCAUAAGCACUCCGCCUGG
Molecule: ribosomal RNA, 872 nt
Filed under: Bacillus sp. (in: firmicutes)
Lineage: Bacteria; Bacillati; Bacillota; Bacilli; Caryophanales; Bacillaceae
Description: bacterial SSU rRNA
Rfam family: Bacterial small subunit ribosomal RNA
Source: RNAcentral